This 550-nucleotide ribosomal RNA is filed under the name uncultured bacterium. RNAcentral's name for it is "bacterial SSU rRNA". It matches the Rfam family "Bacterial small subunit ribosomal RNA", at positions 355 to 896 of the family's 1533-position model. The record is from RNAcentral.
UGGGGAAUAUUGGACAAUGGGCGCAAGCCUGAUCCAGCAAUGCCGCGUGGGUGAAGACGGCCUGCGGGUUGUAAAGCCCUUUGGGUGGGGAAGAACGGUGGUUUGCGAACAGCGGACUGCUCUGACAUUACCCACGGAACAAGCACCGGCUAACUCCGUGCCAGCAGCCGCGGUAAUACGUAGGGUGCGAGCGUUAAUCGGAAUUACUGGGCGUAAAGCGUGCGCAGGCGGCUCUUUAAGUCAGAUGUGAAAGCCCCGGGCUUAACCUGGGAACUGCGUUUGAAACUGGAGAGCUGGAGUGUGGCAGAGGGAGGUGGAAUUCCACGUGUAGCAGUGAAAUGCGUAGAGAUGUGGAGGAACACCGAUGGCGAAGGCAGCCUCCUGGGCCAACACUGACGCUCAUGCACGAAAGCGUGGGGAGCAAACAGGAUUAGAUACCCUGGUAGUCCACGCCCUAAACGAUGUCAACUGGUUGUUGGGAAGGGAAACUUUCUUAGUAACGAAGCUAACGCGUGAAGUUGACCGCCUGGGGAGUACGGCCGCAAGGUUA